GUCAACUGUGAAAGCAGGUUCUCACAACCUCUGUUGACGUUUACUGUGUGUGUUGACCUUUUUCUAGCACGAUGUUGUAGUCCUUCUAGAUGGGCAAUGCUAAAUUACAAGCCUGUUAACAAAUAUAAAUGGCCUACAUCUAAAAUGUAUGAUAGCUCCUCCAGUCUGCUCCUGUCUCUUUUUUGUAUACAGGCCUGUAAAAAAGUUGCAUAGUGUACCUUGACGAAAAAAGAGCAGAGCAUUACCUUACAUAACGAAAAUAUAUCUUAUCAUCAGGUUGGUUAAUUUUCCAUUUCAGGCUACACCCUAAAUUUGCUAUUUUUGUUUAAAAGUAAACUGAAAGCAAAAAAAGCGAUAGCAUUGUAUAAAAACUUUUGAAAAUAGUUAUUGUGGGUUUUUUUUUAAUAUCCGUUCAUAGUUAAAUAGAAAUAAUUCAAAGACUGACAGCUGUUUUUUUCUUAAAUCAUUUAUCAUAUAACUCAUGCUACAGCAGGUUCAAAGGAAAAACUCAAGUCAUUAAAUCAAUGACAGAUUUCUGAAGCUCCGUUAUUGAUUCACCCUCCGGAAUAAUCACUCACUCCAGUUUCUGUUUUAGUUGGAAGUAAAUGAAAUACAGAAAACAGGGGGAGGAAAACACUACCACACAAUACGCUGUAUUUGUGACUUCACGUUUCAGUUUCAACACUUCUCUGGCACUGCUCUGUUGGCGUGCAAGUUAUUAUAAUGCAACACUAGAACAAGAAAGUAUCCUUUCAGUGCAAGUAAGGGGACACUAUUGGGAAAUUAUGAAGCUAUAAAAGACAAGAAAACAAACCCAAUCAAGUCUCCCUAUCCUUGCCGCCCCUGAUUGGAUCAUGAUGUGCGAUGCAGAAAUGCAGGGAGCGGAGGGAACAGAUGGUGUGUAGCUGCUUGACUCCGACUGCGCCGGUUGCUGACACUUUCCAUCUGAAGGUUUUUUCCAUCUUUGGGGAGGAGUGUUGAUGACAUGACAUGUUCAGUGUCAGUUGCAGA
RNAcentral lists this long non-coding RNA (1011 nucleotides) under Sparus aurata (gilthead seabream). RNAcentral describes it as "lncRNA (ENSSAUG00010002241.1)". The record is from RNAcentral. Lineage: Eukaryota; Metazoa; Chordata; Actinopteri; Spariformes; Sparidae.